UUGAACGCUGGCGGCAGGCCUCACACCUGCCAGUCGAGCGGAUGAAGGGAGCUUGCUCCUGGAUUCAGCGGCGGACGGGUGAGUAAUGCCUAGGAAUCUGCCUGGUAGUGGGGGAUAACGUCCGGAAACGGGCGCUAAUACCGCAUACGUCCUGAGGGAGAAAGUAGGGGAUCUUCGGACCUCACGCUAUCAGAUGAGCCUAGGUCGGAUUAGCUAGUUGGUGGGGUAAAGGCCUACCAAGGCGACGAUCCGUAACUGGUCUGAGAGGAUGAUCAGUCACACUGGAACUGAGACACGGUCCAGACUCCUACGGGAGGCAGCAGUGGGGAAUAUUGGACAAUGGGCGAAAGCCUGAUCCAGCCAUGCCGCGUGUGUGAAGAAGGUCUUCGGAUUGUAAAGCACUUUAAGUUGGGAGGAAGGGCAGUAAGUUAAUACCUUGCUGUUUUGACGUUACCAACAGAAUAAGCACCGGCUAACUUCGUG
This 483-nucleotide ribosomal RNA is filed under the name uncultured bacterium. RNAcentral's name for it is "partial 16S ribosomal RNA". It matches the Rfam family "Bacterial small subunit ribosomal RNA", at positions 30 to 507 of the family's 1533-position model. The record is from RNAcentral.